RNAcentral lists this transfer RNA (27 nucleotides) under Cyrtocarenum cunicularium. RNAcentral describes it as "partial tRNA-Leu". Lineage: Eukaryota; Metazoa; Arthropoda; Arachnida; Araneae; Ctenizidae. The record is from RNAcentral.
AAAUGCAUUAGAAUUAGAAUCUAAUUA